UAAUAAGAGGAAGAGCUUCUUUACUUCAAAAGAGGGUUUAGCAAGGUGAAGCAAAGCUCUAUGCUAUGGAUCCCAUAAGCCUUAUCAAACUAAAACUAAUUGAUGAUAUUAUGGAUUCCAUAUUUACGGAGCUUUCACUUACCCUUUUAAUGGCUUUCACUCUUUUUUGGAUGAAGGAAACUCUUCAUCUCUCCCCA
Molecule: microRNA precursor, 197 nt
Filed under: Brassica oleracea var. oleracea
Lineage: Eukaryota; Viridiplantae; Streptophyta; Magnoliopsida; Brassicales; Brassicaceae
Description: pre miRNA MIR159
Source: RNAcentral